GGGGUUGUAGCUCAGUGGUAAGGUACUGGCCCAGCAUGCCUGAUGCCCUGGGUUCAAUUCCCAGCACCACA
This 71-nucleotide transfer RNA is filed under the name Marmota monax (woodchuck). RNAcentral describes it as "tRNA.Ala". It matches the Rfam family "tRNA". From Rfam's summary of the family: Transfer RNA (tRNA) molecules are approximately 80 nucleotides in length. The record is from RNAcentral. Lineage: Eukaryota; Metazoa; Chordata; Mammalia; Rodentia; Sciuridae.